This 253-nucleotide ribosomal RNA is filed under the name uncultured bacterium. Its description in RNAcentral is "partial 16S ribosomal RNA". It matches the Rfam family "Bacterial small subunit ribosomal RNA", at positions 524 to 776 of the family's 1533-position model. The record is from RNAcentral.
UACAGAGGGUGCGAGCGUUGUCCGUAAUCACUGGGCGUAAAGGGUGCGUAGGUGGCUUGGUAAGCGUGUGGCGAAAGUCCGGGGCUCAACCCCGGAUCUGCCGUGCGAACUGCUGAGCUCGAGCAAUGUAGAGGCAGGUGGAAUUUCGGGUGUAGCGGUGGAAUGCGUAGAGAGCCGAAAGAACACCAGUGGCGAAGGCAGCCCCCGGGGAUAACACGGACGCUCAUGGACGAAAGCGUGGGUAGCAAACAGG